GCAUUUGUUACAUAUAAUACCAUAUUCAAAAAAGGUUUCGAAAAUUGUUUUUUGUUGUUUUGAAACUUGUAUACAAUGGCCUUAUUUUAAGUUAUGUGUAUAUUACACCCGCAACAUGUAGGCUUCAUUUCUAUAGAAUUAAUUCUCGUGUUAUUGGUUAUGUGCAGGCACCUACAUCAGUUUGACGGCAGUUGUCCCUUGAAUAUAUGUAAUAAAUAUAAACACAUGAAUAGAAAGUAAGUCAAGAGUAUGGAAGUCAUAGGAUUGCACACAAUAAGCGAUACAUUAUUUUUUCUUUGAUACAUGUAAAAUGAUUAUACUAGUAAACUAUAUAGUCAAAAUGAACCAGAAUGACUCUAUGAAUUAAGCAAACAUCCGAAAAAAUAUAAUAGAAACAUUAAAAUUUAAUAUAACAACAC
This 419-nucleotide long non-coding RNA is filed under the name Mytilus galloprovincialis (Mediterranean mussel). Lineage: Eukaryota; Metazoa; Mollusca; Bivalvia; Mytilida; Mytilidae. The record is from RNAcentral.